Long non-coding RNA from Drosophila teissieri, 1908 nucleotides. RefSeq lists it as uncharacterized. The record is from RefSeq and is a predicted model, not a curated record. Lineage: Eukaryota; Metazoa; Arthropoda; Insecta; Diptera; Drosophilidae. The transcript has 3 exons.
GCACAACGAGCAAACGGAAACCGGAAACGGAAGUGAAAGCGAAAGCAAAAGCGCAAGCGAAAGGCAGUGGCUCCAAAGCACAGUUAAUCGGGCAGAGAACCGAGUGCAGACAACAGCCCACUGAGAACUGAGCACUGAGAACCGAGCGCAGUGAAGUGUUUGUUUUCGCCGUUAUCAGUGGAUGCACGCCUUUCCAGCUCUGAUUGCGCGUAGGGAUCGGGCCAGAGACUGGGACUGGGAUUCCGAAUCCGCAUCCACAUCCGCAUCCACGUCCGAUUCAGAAUCAGAAUCAGUAUUGUAUCCAGGCGCGCGACCCGCACGGAGGAGGCGGCGAGCCGGAGAGGCGUGUCACUAGCAGGUGGCUGAGCCGGUUAACCAGAGUCCGACGGCAAAAACCUCCUCACAGCCGAAAACAUUUGGCCAUAAUUAACCGCAAGCCGAAAGCAGCGCCGAGGAAAAACAAACGCCAAAAUUGAAUCAGAAAAAUCACAGGUCGACGAAAAUGCGGGCCAAGUGCUUUGCCAAUUAUGCCGGAAUUGUUAACAAAAUACAAAGUGUAACAGACUAAAUAAAAUUGACAGCAGGAAACCGCAGGAAUUACAAAAGGACCAAAGCGACAGGCGACGACAGGUGGUCGCUUUUAGGGCCUGUUCUCCCUGAAUUCAUUUCGUAAAUAUAUAUUUAUAUAUAUGUGCUUUAGUAGGGGCGGAAAGCAACAGAGCAGAAGAACCCAAAACUCAAAGCCCAAACCCUAGCCCAAAUUGAAACCUCAAUAGAAACACACAAUCGGAAGCAGAACAAAAACUCACUUAGGCUGCCAUCCAAAUCAACGGCUGUCAGACAAAAAGUCGCUUUUUAUUGAUUUUUAUAAAGUCGAGCAGCAGCAGCAACAACAACACAACAACAACACCAAAAAGCAAUGAACAGCAAGGAAUAAUAACACAAGCCGCAGAAGCAGAAGCAAAAUAAAAAUAAAAAGAAUAAAUACAAAAACAAAAAGCGAACGCAAUGUGAAUAAUUCCCCAGUUGAACAGAGGCGAGCACGAAACGGAAAAACUACUACUACUGCUAUAUCCCCACUCACACCACUCAGCCCACUUACCCCACUCAUCCCACUUACCCAACUCCCAGUGCCCCCGCCUUCCCAGAUCCCCAACUAUAUAAUAUAGCACACUAUCGGAACGUACAUCAAAUGCGAUUCUAUUCGACUCGAUUCGAUUCGAUGACGAUUCAAACCGGAGACACCGGAGAGACGAACGCACACGGAGAGCCAUAAAAAUGUGUUAUAAAAAUAUACACGCAUAAAUUCCCCAAGCUCCCCCCUCCACAACCCCCGCAAGGACAUAAAUACACGGGAAAAACUUUUCAUGCAAAUGUCAUUGACAAAGUCAAUUAGCAGGAAACGGAAGCGCUGCAGCUGCACUAUUGAAAAUUUGAAACUCGAUUAAAGGCAUCGCAAAACACGAAAAGAAAGUGUGCUGGGCACAAAGCAAGACUGAUUUUAUGUUUAGUUAGAUUAUUUUAAAAAUAAACCCCAAAGCAAAAAAAGGAAGCGCAACUAUUUUGUGGGGAAAAACCCGAAACUGCAACAACGAAUUAGCCAAGCGGAAACCGUAGCAAAGAGGUAAACCGCCCACAGAGAAAAAAAGGGAAAGUUCCAACAGCAGCAGGAAAAACAGGAAAAGCAGCAAAGCAAGAAAAACAAAGCGCCCGCCAACAAAAGCAAAAGCAGGAUUCAUUCGAAAGCAUGUUUGUGCUCAUAGCUGUGCUGUUUGUUAACGCUUGCCUAGCGGGCACCAUUCCGGCCACGCCGGAGAACAUAACCGUUACGUUCCUCACGCCCACGGCGGUCCGAGUGUCGUGGCAGACGCAAAUCGAUCUGAAGGCACAUCCCAUCGAGAAGUACAU